ACGGGUGAGUAAUACAUCGGAACGUGCCCAAGAGUGGGGGAUAACGGAGCGAAAGCUUUGCUAAUACCGCAUACGAUCUACGGAUGAAAGCAGGGGACCGCAAGGCCUCGCGCUCAUGGAGCGGCCGAUGGCAGAUUAGGUAGUUGGUGGGAUAAAAGCUUACCAAGCCGACGAUCUGUAGCUGGUCUGAGAGGACGACCAGCCACACUGGGACUGAGACACGGCCCAGACUCCUACGGGAGGCAGCAGUGGGGAAUUUUGGACAAUGGGCGCAAGCCUGAUCCAGCCAUGCCGCGUGCAGGAUGAAGGCCUUCGGGUUGUAAACUGCUUUUGUACGGAACGAAAAGCCUCUUUCUAAUAAAGAGGGGUCAUGACGGUACCGUAAGAAUAAGCACCGGCUAACUACGUGCCAGCAGCCGCGGUAAUACGUAGGGUGCGAGCGUUAAUCGGAAUUACUGGGCGUAAAGCGUGCGCAGGCGGUAAUGUAAGACAGAUGUGAAAUCCCCGGGCUCAACCUGGGAACUGCAUUUGUGACUGCAUUGCUGGAGUGCGGCAGAGGGGGAUGGAAUUCCGCGU
RNAcentral lists this ribosomal RNA (576 nucleotides) under uncultured bacterium. RNAcentral describes it as "bacterial SSU rRNA". It matches the Rfam family "Bacterial small subunit ribosomal RNA", at positions 102 to 674 of the family's 1533-position model. The record is from RNAcentral.